Long non-coding RNA from Nerophis lumbriciformis (worm pipefish), 783 nucleotides. RefSeq lists it as uncharacterized. The record is from RefSeq and is a predicted model, not a curated record. NCBI's taxonomy places the organism in Eukaryota, Metazoa, Chordata, Actinopteri, Syngnathiformes, Syngnathidae.
AACACUACUGAAACACUCUUACAUACACUACUGAAACACUCUUAUAAACACUACUGAAACACUCUUAUAAACACUACUGAAACACUCUUAUAAACACUACUGAAAUGUUUUUGUCUCACGCACACACACGCACACACCUGGAAUUAUUUUUCACUAGUAUGUAUAAACGGAUUUCACCUGUGUGUGUGUGUGCUUUUUACACGUGCGUGUGAGAGACAACAAUUUCAGUAGUAUGUGUGCAAAGAUUUCAGUUAUAUGUAUGAGCGAAUCUUACCAGUGUGUAUGCAAGCAUCUUACUAGUGUGUGUGAGCGAUGUUGCAUUCCGGUUCCGGUCACCAAUAAUCCCCGCCCCUUUUCAGACAAGUUUUUUUUUUUUUUUUUUAAAGCCAAGUUGUGGACAAAAUGUCUGCGGACAAGUAGCUUAACCGAGGUGGGAGCUCCACUUCAUAAUUUGAGGGCUUCAGCUGAGAAUAUAAGAACACUUUCAAUGCAACAAGGGUCGGGCUGCCGCCGUGCAGGACGCGGCACCUGAGCGGCCACACAGGUGCCUUUCUCCUCCCGACAGCCAAGCAGCCUGGAGCAAAUCUUACCUUGCGAGUUUACGCUGCAGCAUCAUCAAGUGCAACGUUUCAGUUCAUGGACAUCGAAGCAAGAGGAGGAAAAGAGUCACCACGCAGCUGCAUGACCAUUUCAACAAAGACGGAAUAAACAACCUCUGGAUUCAUGGAACUUCUCUGCACACAAAUAUAUUAAUUGGAAUAUUCAAUAAAUUUCACAUAGAAA